UGGCUCUGAAUGAUGAGUAACCAAUUACCAUCUUUCGGCUGA
RNAcentral lists this small nucleolar RNA (42 nucleotides) under Xiphophorus maculatus (southern platyfish). RNAcentral also lists the same sequence under 1 other name. The record is from RNAcentral. Lineage: Eukaryota; Metazoa; Chordata; Actinopteri; Cyprinodontiformes; Poeciliidae.